UGCCUACCUGCGUGUGGGAGCGCUCGGCGGCCAUGCGCUCGCGGGGGUUUUUAUUUCUCGGUUUAAAAACUGCCCUUUGGGUAAAUGCAGCAUGGCCAGCUCCUGGAAGGGAGACUUCUGCAUUUCUCGACUGAAAACAGUUCGUAAUUGACUGCUAAAAGUUGGGUGGUGAUGAUGAUGAAGGAAAGCCAAAUAUAGGCGGAGUAGACUGUUGGUGCUGAGAUUUUUCUCUUUCUGGGUAGACGCGCUUUACCCCAUACUGUAGAAUAAUCUUUGAAGAGUAUUGCAGUAAUGCUUGUUUUUUUUCUUCCCUGGCAGAAUGGUGUCUUGAAGUAAAGAGUAAGUUAAACUUUAUUUUGUACUAAGCUGCACAAGGUUAUUAAGAAAGUUCCAGGCCUUUACUUGCUCAUGACAUAGUUAAAAACAGCACUUGAGAUAGGAAAAAAAAAAAACCCACUAAUUUUGUCAGCUUAAAACUAAUUUUACAUGCCAUUAGCUUAUAGAGCUAACGCCUUCUAUAAACAAAGGAGAAAAUCUACUGUUGAGACACAAUAACUGUUCAGUCUUGACCCAAGUAAUCAAAUACCAGAGUUGUUGGCUGUUGAUGAUGAUACCCCUGAAUAGGAAGUGCCGUCAGAUGCGAGAACUGACGAUAACCUUCUUACUUGUCUGAAAUACAGCUACUUGCAUGUGGAGUUUGAGUUGUCUGGAAGUGUGUAUGCUAGAACUAAUCAGGCAACUUUUAUCUGUGCUUUGCUUUCUGUAAAAAGUGAUCCUGUAGUAUCCAUCAUGGAUUAAUAUCCAUCUCUUUCAUUUAUGCUGCAGAGUUUGGUAUUUCCAGAGAAAUGUGAUCCCUUUAGUACAGGGAGCAGGCAGGUCCCUGAAAAUCGCACCAAUGUGAAGGUGUUCCUACUGAAAACUUGCUUGUCUGAGGAAGAAGAAAUCCACUAAAAUACUCAAGGGAGCAGGGAAGCAGUCGUCAUAAACUCUACCUGUUUUCCUGUCCUAAGACUUUAAGAAAUACUAAAAAUUACACUGCUGUGCAUAUAUUAAAGUUAUCAAAACAAUUUAUGUUUGGGUCUGUGUCAUUUUUACUGGAUAAAGGAAUGUCUUUUAAAAAGAGUAUUGUUAUAAGGGAAAAAAACAUACUCGAUGCUCAUAAUUUGCUAUAACAUGAUAAAGUACAUGUGUACACAGUACAGUAUAAUUACUGCAGAUGAUGUGAAUAGAUUUUAGUUGUAUAAGCAUUCCAUCUGGUGUUUGAUAAUUUACUUGCCUUAAACAAUUUAAACAAGUGAUGAUAAUACUGCUGCUGCAAUUACUGUAGGGAUUAGGCCUUAAGUAGCUCUACAAGGAGAGCAAACAUUCCAUAUAGGACAAACAACUAUUUCUUUAGCUUGUUGGAGGGUUGAAAUUUCUUGCUCGUUAUUUUGGCCUCAACGUUUUGGCAAGUCUUCUGCAGAGGUAGCAGAAUCUGUUCCUGCAG
Molecule: long non-coding RNA, 1486 nt
Filed under: Struthio camelus australis
Lineage: Eukaryota; Metazoa; Chordata; Aves; Struthioniformes; Struthionidae
Description: lncRNA (ENSSCUG00000009102.1)
Rfam family: Small nucleolar RNA SNORD49 (bases 601-675)
Source: RNAcentral